GGCUCUUAGUUUCCCUACAAUACGAGGACUUUUCUAUCUCUUCAUCUCUUAUAGCAUGUAAACACAUGAAUAAGACUAGUAGCGAAAAGAUCUCUACGCAGCCAAUUUAUUCUAAUUUGCAAGCAUUCUGUCCACUUCCACAAAUCUGAUGCACUACAUGGUUCAAGAUAAAAAACCUUUCUAUCAAGAUAAAGAUCCUUGCUAUCAAUAUCAAUACUCUAAGAUGCCAAUAUGUACUUACUUGUAACAACAUAGUAGUACUUGCACAUGAAAUUCAAAAC
This 281-nucleotide long non-coding RNA is filed under the name Amborella trichopoda. Its description in RNAcentral is "long non-coding RNA (ATRI_LNC003630)". Lineage: Eukaryota; Viridiplantae; Streptophyta; Magnoliopsida; Amborellales; Amborellaceae. The record is from RNAcentral.